RNAcentral lists this ribosomal RNA (253 nucleotides) under uncultured bacterium. Its description in RNAcentral is "partial 16S ribosomal RNA". It matches the Rfam family "Bacterial small subunit ribosomal RNA", at positions 524 to 776 of the family's 1533-position model. The record is from RNAcentral.
UACGUAGGGCGCAAGCGUUGUUCGGAUUUACUGGGCGUAAAGGGCGCGUAGGCGGCCUUGUCAGUCAGGCGUGAAAGCCCCGGGCUCAACCUGGGAACGGCGCUUGGGACGGCGAGGCUGGAGUUCGGGAGAGGAGAGUGGAAUUCCCAGUGUAGAGGUGAAAUUCGUAGAUAUUGGGAAGAACACCGGUGGCGAAGGCGGCUCACUGGUCCGGUACUGACGCUGAGGUGCGAAAGCGUGGGGAGCAAACAGG